This 362-nucleotide long non-coding RNA is filed under the name Mus musculus (house mouse). RNAcentral describes it as "long non-coding RNA chr9:117065526-117065888". Lineage: Eukaryota; Metazoa; Chordata; Mammalia; Rodentia; Muridae. The record is from RNAcentral.
UGUCCACAGCACACACGACAAUGAGCUGCUGAGGACCAAGACCCUGAUAUCAUGCUCACUGACAGCACAUUGUACUGACAGUGGUCUGAGUCCCACUAUGCACUAUGUCUGGGCUUCAAGAAGGGGUCUACAUUGACUCUACAGGAGAGAGAGAUCAAAUGAUCAAAGGAAAUGCAGAUGAAAUCUGAUGAAGGGGUACAGGAUCCCCAAACUAGCGGUCUUCUAGAGAGACAUUCUAGCUGAGCGAGCUUCUGGCCGGCACUACAUCAACACCAGGCCCCUGUGGUGGAGCAGAUGGUUAUGUGCUAGAGAGCAAGGAGCAAGCAUUCUGUCUGAGGAAGAUCAAAGCCCUGAGGGGCAAA